This 280-nucleotide ribosomal RNA is filed under the name uncultured Streptococcus sp. Its description in RNAcentral is "partial 16S ribosomal RNA". It matches the Rfam family "Bacterial small subunit ribosomal RNA", at positions 1098 to 1382 of the family's 1533-position model. Lineage: Bacteria; Bacillati; Bacillota; Bacilli; Lactobacillales; Streptococcaceae. The record is from RNAcentral.
GCGAACCCUAUGUAGUUGCCAUCAUUCAGUUGGGCACUCUAGCGAGACUGCCGGUAAUAAACCGGAGGAAGGUGGGGAUGACGUCAAAUCAUCAUGCCCUUAUGACCUGGGCUACACACGUGCUACAAUGGUUGGUACAACGAGUUGCGAGUCGGUGACGGCGAGCUAAUCUCUUAAAGCCAAUCUCAGUUCGGAUUGUAGGCUGCAACUCGCCUACAUGAAGUCGGAAUCGCUAGUAAUCGCGGAUCAGCACGCCGCGGUGAAUACGUUCCCGGGCCUU